This 426-nucleotide ribosomal RNA is filed under the name uncultured bacterium. Its description in RNAcentral is "bacterial SSU rRNA". It matches the Rfam family "Bacterial small subunit ribosomal RNA", at positions 355 to 774 of the family's 1533-position model. The record is from RNAcentral.
UGGGGAAUAUUGGACAAUGGGCGAAAGCCUGAUCCAGCCAUGCCGCGUGUGUGAAGAAGGUCUUCGGAUUGUAAAGCACUUUAAGUUGGGAGGAAGGGCGGUAAGUUAAUACCUUGCUGUUUUGACGUUACCGACAGAAUAAGCACCGGCUAACUCUGUGCCAGCAGCCGCGGUAAUACAGAGGGUGCAAGCGUUAAUCGGAAUUACUGGGCGUAAAGCGCGCGUAGGUGGUUUGUUAAGUUGGAUGUGAAAGCCCCGGGCUAAACCUGGGAACUGCAUCCAAAACUGGCAAGCUGGAGGACGGAGGAGGGUGGUGGAAUUUCCUGUGUAGCGGUGAAUGCGUAGAUAUAGGGAGGAACACCAGUGGCGAAGGCGACCACCUGGACUGAUACUGACACUGAGGUGCGAAAGCGUGGGGAGCAAACA